Molecule: ribosomal RNA, 468 nt
Filed under: uncultured bacterium
Lineage: Bacteria
Description: partial 16S ribosomal RNA
Rfam family: Bacterial small subunit ribosomal RNA
Source: RNAcentral
GACGAACGCUGGCGGCGUGCUUAACACAUGCAAGUCGAACGGAAAGGCCCUGCUUUUGUGGGGUGCUCGAGUGGCGAACGGGUGAGUAACACGUGAGUAACCUGCCCUGGACUUUGGGAUAACUUCAGGAAACUGGGGCUAAUACCGGAUAGGAGCUCCUGCUGCAUGGUGGGGGUUGGAAAGUUUUGGCGGUUGGGGCUGGACUCGCGGCUUAUCAGCUUGUUGGUGGGGUAGUGGCUUACCAAGGCUUUGACGGGUAGCCGGCCUGGGAGGGUGACCGGCCACAUUGGGACUGAGGUACGGCCCAGACGCCUACGGGAGGCAGCAGUGGGGAAUAUUGCCCAAUGGGCGGAAGCCUGAUGCAGCAACGCCGCGUGUGGGAUGACGGCCUUCGGGUUGUAAACCGCUUUCGCCUGUGACGAAGCGUGAGUGACGGUAAUGGGUAAAGAAGCACCGGCUAACUACGUG